GUGCCAGCAGCCGCGGUAAGACGAACCGUGCGAACGUUAUUCGGAAUCACUGGGCUUAAAGGGCGCGUAGGCGGGCUACCAAGUCGGAGGUGAAAUCCUGCAGCUCAACUGCAGAAGUGCCCCCGAUACUGGCAGCCUCGAGUGAGGUAGGGGCAUGUGGAACUUCCGGUGGAGCGGUGAAGUGCGUAGAUAUCGGAAGGAACGCCGGUGGCGAAAGCGACGUGCUGGACCUCUUCUGACGCUGAGGCGCGAAAGCCAGGGGAGCGAACGGGAUUAGAUACCCCCGUAGUCC
RNAcentral lists this ribosomal RNA (292 nucleotides) under uncultured bacterium. RNAcentral describes it as "partial 16S ribosomal RNA". It matches the Rfam family "Bacterial small subunit ribosomal RNA", at positions 505 to 796 of the family's 1533-position model. The record is from RNAcentral.